RNAcentral lists this long non-coding RNA (988 nucleotides) under Chrysolophus pictus (golden pheasant). RNAcentral describes it as "lncRNA (ENSCPIG00010010703.1)". The record is from RNAcentral. Lineage: Eukaryota; Metazoa; Chordata; Aves; Galliformes; Phasianidae.
AUGGCCUGCAGAGGGGGGGCACAAGGGGCUGAGACCCUAUUGGGGCAGGGAGGGGACAGAAUGGGAAUGGAGGCAGGAAAGGAUGUGCCACGCUUGGGCACAGUGUGUGGCUGCAUGGUGAUGGCGAGGUGCAGGGAGCCACGGCCGUGGCCCCAUCUCUGGGUGUUUGGGGUUGAGGACACAGCCUGGGCAUUGCCAUCCAGCCCCCUGCUUUUGCAGCCCCCACCCCAAGCAGAGCCAUCCCUGCAGCAUCCCAUGCUUGCAGUGGAUGCCACUGGAUGUCACCCUUGUGCUGUGUGCGCCCAUGCCGGCCCCACGUCUGUCCCCACAGCCACCCUCACCCCACACACGUGUGUGCACACACAUGCACAGCCCCCAGCCUUGGCCCCUGGGGAUUUCUCAACCCCUGCUGGGGAAGAAGAGGAGCCCAUCCAGAGCAAACCUGGCAGUGGGGAAAGGGCUCUGAGGCUGGGCCCCCCCCCUGCAGCCGCACCACCACUGACCUUUGCACAAGCGGCCAUUGGAGAGGAUAUAAAGUCAGAACUUGGGGCAGCCCCCACUGAGCAAAGCCAAAGCACAGCGUGGCCAGCCAUGAAGGUCUCCAUCCUGCUCCUGCUCAUCUGCACGGCCAUCCUGGCGGUGGGAGCACGAGCUGAUGCUCCCGAUAAGACAGACGUGGUGGUGAAGAAGGUGCAGGAGUACGUCAAGCAAGCCACUGAGGCAGUCAAGACGGCCUUCACCACAGUGCAUGAGUCAGAGGCAGCUCAGCAAGCCAGGAGGUGGCUGUCGGACAAUGCCAACCUGGUGAAGCAGCAGCUGGCACGGCUGAAGGAGCAGCUGGCUGAACUCUGGAAGCUGACGCCGACCGCGUAGCCCAGCUGUGGGCUGGUGGGGGCUGACUGGGUGCGGGUCCUGUCCCCCAUCCCACACACAGCACCAUUUCCCUUUUGUUGUGGUUCUUGAAAUAAAGUGGAGUUGGAGUGAGAUG